Molecule: non-coding RNA, 48 nt
Filed under: Trichobilharzia regenti
Lineage: Eukaryota; Metazoa; Platyhelminthes; Trematoda; Strigeidida; Schistosomatidae
Source: RNAcentral
GUCCAUAUGAUGAGUCCCAAAUAGGACGAAGUGUGUUUUGUCCUGGAU